RNAcentral lists this ribosomal RNA (505 nucleotides) under uncultured bacterium. RNAcentral describes it as "bacterial SSU rRNA". It matches the Rfam family "Bacterial small subunit ribosomal RNA", at positions 501 to 1008 of the family's 1533-position model. The record is from RNAcentral.
CUACGUGCCAGCAGCCGCGGUAAUACGGAAGGUCCGGGCGUUAUCCGGAUUUAUUAGGUUUAAAGGGAGCGUAGGCUGGAGAUUAAGUGUGUUGUGAAAUGUAGACGCUCAACGUCUGACUUGCAGCGCAUACUGGUUUCCUUGAGUACGCACAACGUUGGCGGAAUUCGUCGUGUAGUGGUGAAAUGCUUAGAUAUGACGAAGAACUCCGAUUGCGAAGGCAGCUGACGGGAGCGCAACUGACGCUGAAGCUCGAAGGUGCGGGUAUCGAACAGGAUUAGAUACCCUGGUAGUCCGCACAGUAAACGAUGGAUGCCCGCUGUUGGUACCUGGUAUCAGCGGCUAAGCGAAAGCUUUAAGCAUCCCACCUGGGGAGUACGCCGGCAACGGUGAAACUCAAAGGAAUUGACGGGGGCCCGCACAAGCGGAGGAACAUGUGGUUUAAUUCGAUGAUACGCGAGGAACCUUACCCGGGCUUGAAUUGCAGAGGAAGGAUUUAGAGAUA